Molecule: non-coding RNA, 45 nt
Organism: Schistosoma mattheei
Lineage: Eukaryota; Metazoa; Platyhelminthes; Trematoda; Strigeidida; Schistosomatidae
Source: Rfam
AUCCAGCUGACGAGUCCCAAAUAGGACGAAACGUGCGUCUUGGAU